GAUGAACGCUAGCGGCAGGCCUAACACAUGCAAGUCGAACGGUAACAUGAGUAGCAAUACUUGAUGACGAGUGGCGCACGGGUGCGUAACGCGUAUGCAACUUACCUCUAACUGGAGAAUAGCCUUCCGAAAGGAAGAAUAAUACUCCAUAAUAUUACGAUGUGGCAUCACAUUGUUCUUAAAGCUUCGGCGGUUAGAGAUGGGCAUGCGUCUGAUUAGCUUGUUGGUGAGGUAACGGCUCACCAAGGCAACGAUCAGUAGGGGGCCUGAGAGGGUUAUCCCCCACACUGGUACUGAGACACGGACCAGACUCCUACGGGAGGCAGCAGUGAGGAAUAUUGGUCAAUGGACGAAAGUCUGAACCAGCCAUGCCGCGUGCAGGAUGAAUGCCCUAUGGGUUGUAAACUGCUUUUAUAUAGGAAUAAACCCCUUUACGUGUAAAGGGCUGAAGGUACUAUAAGAAUAAGGACCGGCUAACUCCGUGCCAGCAG
RNAcentral lists this ribosomal RNA (491 nucleotides) under uncultured bacterium. RNAcentral's name for it is "bacterial SSU rRNA". It matches the Rfam family "Bacterial small subunit ribosomal RNA", at positions 28 to 514 of the family's 1533-position model. The record is from RNAcentral.